Microcebus murinus (gray mouse lemur) is the source of this 1642-nucleotide non-coding RNA. The record is from RefSeq and is a predicted model, not a curated record. NCBI's taxonomy places the organism in Eukaryota, Metazoa, Chordata, Mammalia, Primates, Cheirogaleidae.
GGCUGCAGCCAUGACAAAGGAAAGAGGUCUCAGCUAUAAAUUCUUUGAGGGACUCCCUGGGAGAGGGACUGAGAAUGGCUACUGCACCUGAGGAAAUAUAACAAAACGGCGAAUAAUAGAAGAUGAAAAAGAAGGCUCUAGGCCUCACUCUGAGAAAUAUUGUACUUGUUAUUGCCUAUUGUGUGACUUUCAUAUAGAACAACAAAGUAUCGGCCGAUCAAUGGAAAUCGUGUUAAGCAGAGAUCGAGGCUCCAAAUGAGGGCAAAAGUGAAGACAAGAUAAAAUCCUGGAAAAUCUGACAAGGCCAGUGAUCCAUUUGAGCCAGAGAAAUUAUGAAUAAAAUAUUCAGUACAUGGCUGGAGGGACUAUUUCCAUUCUAAUCUUGUGAGAAAAGAAGAUACUGAAGUGCAAAAAUUAAUGACUUGCUGAAAGUCACACAGCAAGAGAAAAUAGCUAGAGAGGCAGCCCUCUGGCUCAUGUCCACAGAAUUAAAUGUCAUAUGCCCACAUCACCUUGUGCCCACAUCACAAUGCCAGUCACAAGCCACACUGCUAGCUAACUGGCUCCUAACAUCUGGUCAGUUUUAUUCCAGGGCUCUUGUUAUUCCUGGAUCCCAAACCACGUGGAGUGUUUCAUCUGAUAUAUGUCAGGGUACGGAUCACAUCAUUUUUAUUAGUGAAUUUUAUUUUCUUUAUUUCAAGACACCCUUUUUCAAAGGAGAAAUAAUUAUACUCAUAUCCAACUGGAGGAAAUAGUAUGGGGUUUCCAAAGAUUUGUAAGUAAUAAUUAACCAGAGUCCUCGAAUCCUUUGUGGAAAGAAUCAAGGCAUAAAUAUAUAACUUAUUUAAACAUUUAAUUUACCUUAACUAAUGACUAUAUCUGAGGAUGCACUUCCGGGUGAUGCCUGCGCUUUCACCCACGAUAGCCAUACCUUGCUGUGGUCAAAGGUCCUGGGAGAAUCCCAGGUACCUCCCCAAGGUGUGUACUAUGUUAAAGCUAUAAAGGAAGCCCAGACGAAGGGAAAGAUUCCUGGGAUAGCGACACCUUGACCAAGAUGGAGAGCCAGUGAUGGUGUCUUGGCUGCAUCUCAAUUCUGUCCACUCCGCUGGGUAGUGACUGCCCAGUGCCAUGCUGGGAACGUCCGAGAAUGGAAAAGGACUCCUGUCAGUUAGAGGUGGAGGAGUGACUGUGUAUGUGUGAAGUGUGGGCCCUCUGGAGGCAGGAAAAGACAGGGUGCUGGUGGACACACGGAAGACAUGUCCUGGGAGGCGGAGCUCAGCAUUCAGAAUGUCACACUCCCUUCUUUCCAGAAAUGGUGGAGACCAGAGAAUGCAGAUGAGAAGCUAGAGAGUGGAUGACCUUGCCUAAAACUAAGUGAAAGGUCUGCCCUGAAUAAUUCCAUACAAAAUGUUCUUCUUUUCUUCCUUCCUCCCUUCAUCCUUCCUUCCAUCCCUCCUUUCCUUCUAUCUAUUUAUUUGUCAUAAGAAUGUAUUUCUUCACCCACUUUGUCCUCAAAGGCUAUGAGGCAGCUUACAAAGAAAACAGAAAUUAAGUAACUGAAAAAUAUUGGGCAGGAAGAGGAGAGAGAGGGGAGGUGCACAUAGUAAAAGUGUAGCAGGAAUAAAGAUAAUGAUAUGACUAA